UCUUUCGAGGAUUUGAUCCUGGUCCAGGAUGAACGCUGGCGGCGUGGAUAAGGCAUGCAAGUCGAACGGUCGAGCGCACGUUGCGCUCGGUAGUGGCAAACGAGUUAGUAACGCCCUGGUACGUACCCCCGAGUCGGGCAUAAUUCCGCGAAAGCGGGACUAAUUCCCGAUGGUGUCGCCUUAGGCGACUAAAGGAGCGAUUCGCUCGGGGAGCGGCCUAGGUCCUAUCAGCUAGUUGGUGAGGUAAAAGCUCACCAAGGCUACGACGGGUAGGGGGGGUGAGAGCCCGAUCCCCAACGAGGAGACUGAGACACGGCUCCUACACCUACGGGUGGCAGCAGUCGAGAAUAUUCGACAAUGGGCGAAAGCCUGAUCGAGCGACGCCGCGUGCAGGAUGAAGGUCUUAGGAUUGUAAACUGCUUUUCUACGGGAAGAAGUGUGCGUAGCACACAGUUUGUUAGUUCGUCAGUUACGCUUCGCUCUAGUUUAUUAGUUGGUGAAACUAAUUAACUAGCAAACGAACAGCGAGCGGAGCGAGCGGAACUAGUCAACUAUGUGCUGCGCACAUUGACGGUACCGUGGGAAUAAGGGGCGGCAAACUUCGUGCCAGCAGCCGCGGUAAUACGAAGGCCCCGAGCGUUAUCCGGAUUCAUUGGGCGUAAAGGGCGCGUAGGAGGUUCGGUCCGUCUCUCGUGAAAUCUCGGAGCUCAACUCCGAACCCGCGGGGGAAACCGCCGAACUAGAGGGUGUUAGAGGCAGAUGGAACACACGGUGUAGGGGUGAAAUCCGUUGAUAUCGUGUGGAACACCAAAGGCGAAGGCAUUCUGCUGGGACACUCCUGACUCUGAGGCGCGAAAGCGUGGGGAGCAAAAAGGAUUAGAUAAAUCCCGUUCCGGCUCCAAAGAAACGGAACAAAGGGUGUCCCCUCCGACGGCGACGUCGGGGUGCGCAUUCAGCUAUAUCGGGGAAGGCCGUCUUGUCAGGCGGUUAAUCCCGAGGGAAGUUAUUCAAGCCUCACUUUCGACUCUUUAAUUAUAGAGAAAAGUGGAGCUUGUGUAACCCCGUAGAGACUAUGUAAGUAAGAAAAUAGAAAAUGACCAAGUCAUUUUUGUUGGAUCGAUGUAAGGAAAUUAUUCUGGGUUCUUUGUUGGGUGAUGGGUCCUUAAAGAUCUAUAAGCCCUACAAAAAUGCCCGAUUUUCCUUUCGACAUUCGGUACAUCAAAAAGAUUAUUUUUUCUGGAAAGUUGAAGAAUUAAAAGAAAUUUCCGGAGAGAAAUCUUUUUGGGAACAAAAACCGAAUAGUUUGGGAGGAGAUAUGUUGCGAUACCAAAGUUUAGCAUUAGAAUUGCUUACGGAACUGCAUCGGCUGACUUACGAGCAUAAUUGUCUCGUAAUACGUCGAAAAUGGCUGAACAUGAUGACGCCAUUAUCGCUUGCGAUUUGGUGGCUUGAUGAUGGUUCGCUUAUUGGCAAUGGAAAGCGAGGUGUGUUUUGUACCGACCCGUUUUCGUUUCAUGAACAAGAGAUUUUAUCGCAGUAUUUACUCAAGGUUUGGAAAGUAAAAACUGCGAUUGGAAAAAUUGUCCGCGAGCGGGAAGGAAAAAAAGUUGAGUACUAUCGGCUAUGGAUUCGUUCAAGCGAAGAAUUAAAAAAAUUUCUUCGGAUAAUCCUCCCCGAAAUACCAUCCGCAUCUACAUUGCCUAAAGUUCUUAUUCUUUACAAAGAUUCCCAAUUACAGCAACGCUGGGUUUCUGAAGUUGUUGAAGCAACGCAUUUUUCUCGAGAGAUUAUUGAAAGGUAUCUUGCUGAGAAAAAAGCGAAAUAUAAGCGAUUUCAGAAAAUGAUAUAGUCCGAUCCUCCGAGUAAUCGGAGCAUCUAAUAGGUCUAAAUCCCUAACGCUUAGGAAUUAGGAUUUAGAAAUUAGAAAUUGCAAUUUUGCCAAGCAAAAUUGUUGACCCUUGUAGUCCACGCCCUAAACGAUGCUGAUUAGCUGUCUCGAGUAUCGACCCUCGGGGUGGCGUAGCUAACGCGUUAAAUCAGCCGCCUGGGAAGUACGGCCGCAAGGCUAAAACUCAAAGGAAUAGACGGGGACUCGCACAAGCGGUGGAGCAUGUGGUUUAAUUCGACGGUAAGCGAAGAACCUUACCAGGGCUUGAAAUGCACUUGAAGACCGGCAGAAACGUCGGUCGUCUCUCAAGGACAAGUGCACAGGUGCUGCAUGGUUGUCGUCAGCUCGUAUCGUGAGACGUUCCCUUAAGUGGGGUAACGAGCGCAACCCCUCUCUGGUGUUAUAAGUGUCACCGGAAACCGCCCCCGUUUUUGCCCGCAAGCAAUGAAAUGCUUGUGUUCAAAAACGGGGGAGGAAGGCGGGGAUGACGUCAAAUCCGCAUGGCCCUCUGAUGCCCUGGGCCACACACGUGCUACAAUGGCCGUUACAAAGGGUUGCCAAGCCGCAAGGCGGAGCUAAUCCCAAAAACACGGCCCCAGUUCAGAUUGGAGGCUGCAACUCGCCUCCAUGAAGUUGGAAUCGCUAGUAAUCGUAGGUCAGCUACACUACGGUGAAUACGUUCUCGAGUCCUGUACUCACCGCCCGUCAAGCCAGCGGAGUCGGUAAUACCUGAAGCCCAGCACUUUGUUCGCAACGCAGUUGUUAACAAAGUGCUGGGUAAGGGUAGGAUCGAUGAUGAGGGCUAAGUCGUAACAAGGCACGCGUAGCGGAAGCUGUGCGUGGAUCAUCUACAUA
This 2743-nucleotide ribosomal RNA is filed under the name bacterium. Its description in RNAcentral is "bacterial SSU rRNA". It matches the Rfam family "Bacterial small subunit ribosomal RNA". The record is from RNAcentral.